Molecule: ribosomal RNA, 513 nt
Filed under: uncultured bacterium
Lineage: Bacteria
Description: bacterial SSU rRNA
Rfam family: Bacterial small subunit ribosomal RNA
Source: RNAcentral
AGUUUGAUUCUGGCUCAGGAUGAACGCUAGCGGCAGGCUAACACAUGCAAGUCGAGGGGCAGCGCGAGUAGCAAUACUUGGCGGCGACCGGCGCAAGGGUGCGUAACGCGUGAGCAACAUGCCCGUAUCAGGGGGAUAAUCCAGGGAAACUUGGUCUAAUACCCCACUAGUAAUUUUGUAAGGCAUCUUAUAAGAUUUAAAGCUUUGGUGGAUACGGAUUGGCUCGCGUGACAUUAGCUGGAUGGUAAGGUAACGGCUUACCAUGGCUAUGAUGUCUAGGGGUUCUGAGAGGAAGGUCCCCCACACUGGAACUGAGACACGGUCCAGACUCCUACGGGAGGCAGCAGUGAGGAAUAUUGGACAAUGGAUGGAAAUCUGAUCCAGCCAUGCCGCGUGAAGGAAGAAGGUCCUAUGGAUUGUAAACUUCUUUUGUAUGGGAGCAAUAAGGCCUACGAGUAGGUUGAUGAGAGUACCAUACGAAUAAGCACCGGCUAACUCCGUGCCAGCCGCCGC